Long non-coding RNA from Centrocercus urophasianus (Greater sage-grouse), 206 nucleotides. RefSeq lists it as uncharacterized. The record is from RefSeq and is a predicted model, not a curated record. NCBI's taxonomy places the organism in Eukaryota, Metazoa, Chordata, Aves, Galliformes, Phasianidae. The transcript is spliced from 3 exons.
CUCCCUUCUCUCUUUCCCAGGAUCCCGUUCAAGAUCGGGCAGCCCAAGAAACAGAUUGUACCCAAGACAGUGGAGAGAGACUUUGAGAGGGAAUAUGGGAAGCUGCAGCAGCUGGAAGAGCAGACCAAAAAGCUUCAGAAGGACAUGAAGAAAAGCACAGACGCAGAUUUGGGUACGUGAGCGCGGGAGGCGCAGGCUGCACUUGG